Rhamnusium bicolor is the source of this 75-nucleotide non-coding RNA. NCBI's taxonomy places the organism in Eukaryota, Metazoa, Arthropoda, Insecta, Coleoptera, Cerambycidae. The record is from the annotation of a GenBank genome assembly.
GGCUUCGUGGUCGAGUGGUAAGGAUACUUGCCUCUCACUCUGUUGUCCCGGGUUCCAUUCCCGGUUGAGGAGCUA